GGAGACGUGGCCGAGAGGCUGAUGGCUACCGACUUAAAAUCGGUAAAGCCCUUCGGGUUUCGGGGGUUCGAAUCCCCCCGUCUCCG
This 86-nucleotide transfer RNA is filed under the name Dehalococcoidia bacterium. RNAcentral describes it as "tRNA-Leu". It matches the Rfam family "tRNA". From Rfam's summary of the family: Transfer RNA (tRNA) molecules are approximately 80 nucleotides in length. Their secondary structure includes four short double-helical elements and three loops (D, anti-codon, and T loops). The record is from RNAcentral. Lineage: Bacteria; Bacillati; Chloroflexota; Dehalococcoidia.